CUCUGAUUUCAACACACUGUGGGAUGAGUGCUGACUUAACUCUGAUUUUAACAUGCUGUGGGGUGAGUGCUGACUUAACUCCGAUUUCAACAUGCUGUGGGGUGAGUGCUGACUUAACUCUGAUUUCAACACACUGUCGGGGGAGUGCUGACUUCUCUGAUUUCAAAAUACUGUGGGGCCAGUUCUGACUUAAGUCUCUGAUUUCAACACGCUGUGAGGCCAGUGCUGACUUAACGCUCUGAUUUCAACACCUGCAGGACAAGGGCUGACUUAACUCUGAUUUCAACACUCUGCGGGACGAGUGCUGGAACUCUCUGAUUUCAACAUGCUGCAAGGCCAGUGCUGAUCUAACUCCCUGAUUUCAACAUGCUGCGGGAUGAGUGCUGACUUAACUCUGAUUUCAACACACUGCAGGGCAGGUGCUGACUUAACUCUGUGAUUUCAACACACUGCAGGGCAGGUGCUGACUUAACUCUGUGAUUUCAACACACUGCAGGGCAGGUGCUGACUUAACUCUGAUUUCAACACACUGCAGGGCAGGUGCUGACUUAACUCUGUGAUUUCAACACACUGCAGGGCAGGUGCUGACUUAACUCUGUGAUUUCAACACACUGCAGGGCAGGUGCUGACUUAACUCUGAUUUCAACACACUGCAGGGCAGGUGCUGACUUAACUCUGUGAUUUCAACACACUGCAGGGCAGGUGCUGACUUAACUCUGUGAUUUCAACACACUGCAGGGCAGGUGUUGACUUAACUCUGUGAUUUCAACACACUGUGGGGCCAGUGCUGACUUAACUCUGUGGUUUCAACACGCCAUGGGGCCAGUGCUGACUUAACUCUGUGAUUUCAACACACUGUGGGGGCCAGAGCUGACUUAACUCUGUGGUUUCAACACGCCAUGGGGCCAGUGCUGACUUAACUCUGUGAUUUCAACACACUGUGGGGCCAGUGCUGACUUAACUCUGUGGUUUCAACACGCCAUGGGGCCAGUGCUGACUUAACUCUGUGAUUUCAACACACUGUGGGGCCAGUGCUGACUUAACUCUGAUUUCAACACACUGUGGGGCCAGUGCUGACUUAACUCUGAUUUCAACAUGCCACAGGGCUGGUGCUGACUUAACUCUGCUACACUCACUUGUGAAUCAACUUGAAUGAUCUGGAAUGUGUGCAACCUGUGCACUGUGACAAAAAAUAGACUCACACAGCUGGAAGGACAGCUCAGUGCAGAGUGCACCUCAGAGCAUUAGGUGUAAAAACUCUUACUUCAGAGAAAUCAUGUAUGAAAUGGAAAACAACCGGUCCAUGUUAGGUUAAAGCAUCACAGAACAGAAAAUUAAACCUGAUGAAUGUCUGUCCCUAAAUAACCUCAGGUUUAGACUUAAGAGAGAGAGCGUGUGUGAGCACAGGAGAGAAAAACCUUCACAUCAACCCAGAAAGGCCGCUCAGUCUCUAGCUUGGGGGGAGACGGCCACACCUGGAGGGAGGGGAGGUGGUCAUCAG
Molecule: long non-coding RNA, 1501 nt
Filed under: Homo sapiens (human)
Lineage: Eukaryota; Metazoa; Chordata; Mammalia; Primates; Hominidae
Description: HSALNT0067950
Source: RNAcentral